UAGCAUUGCCGCGUCCAACCUUGAUUUUCCUGCCAAUUUAUGGAACACCACAAUAAAAAUGUUCCAGUUCGGUUCUCUGUUAUUCAGUUUUGGAGGUGUUUUUGGUUGGCAUAAGCGGUUCUUCGCUGGAAAAUGCUAACGUGCUGAUGAUGAUAGAUUAAUUAUGGUGAGCGGAAAAAAGUAGUGCAUUAUUAUAUUCUCUGUUUCUUUGCUUUCUAUUCAACUGUCUAUGAGGAAUGGCAGACAAGAAAGAAAAAGAAAGGGAUUAAACCUAACGAUUAACCUUCAUUGACCCGGAAAGCUAAACGACCUCUUCCUGUUGUCAUAUCGCUGGUGAUUAGAUUGAUUUCUGUCGAAUAUAGAAGAUGUGGUGCUAUUUCUGUAUCGGAAUCUUCGGCGGAGAUUUCCUCUAGUGUUAUCGAAUGUAGAGCCAACUAGUUGGAUCCAAAUCACUCCCUGCUUUAACUUUUUGGAGCUCCUGCUUUUCGCAUUAUUUUGACUUGACAAUUU
Molecule: long non-coding RNA, 510 nt
Organism: Neltuma alba
Lineage: Eukaryota; Viridiplantae; Streptophyta; Magnoliopsida; Fabales; Fabaceae
Exons: 3
Source: RefSeq, a predicted model, not a curated record